GCGUGGGUAGCAAACAGGAUUAGAUACCCUGGUAGUCCACGCGGUAAACGAUGUCGACCAGCCGUUGGGUGCCUAGCGCACUUUGUGGCGAAGUUAACGCGAUAAGUCGACCGCCUGGGGAGUACGGCCGCAAGGUUAAAACUCAAAUGAAUUGACGGGGGCCCGCACAAGCGGUGGAGCAUGUGGUUUAAUUCGAUGCAACGCGAAGAACCUUACCUACUCUUGACAUCCUGCGAAUUCGGUAGAGAUACCUUAGUGCCUUCGGGAGCGCAGAGACAGGUGCUGCAUGGCUGUCGUCAGCUCGUGUUGUGAAAUGUUGGGUUAAGUCCCGUAACGAGCGCAACCCUUGUCCUUAUUUGCCAGCACGUAAUGGUGGGAACUCUAAGGAGACUGCCGGUGACAAACCGGAGGAAGGUGGGGACGACGUCAAGUCAUCAUGGCCCUUACGAGUAGGGCUACACACGUGCUACAAUGGCUGGUACAAAGGGCUGCGAGCUCGCGAGAGUCAGCGAAUCCCUUAAAGCCGGUCUCAGUCCGGAUCGGAGUCUGCAACUCGACUCCGUGAAGUCGGAAUCGCUAGUAAUCGUGAAUCAGAAUGUCACGGUGAAUACGUUCCCGGGCCUUGUACACACCGCCCGU
Molecule: ribosomal RNA, 639 nt
Filed under: uncultured bacterium
Lineage: Bacteria
Description: bacterial SSU rRNA
Rfam family: Bacterial small subunit ribosomal RNA
Source: RNAcentral